AAAAACAGUUGUUAAAGAAAGGAUGAGCCUAGCAAGCUUGUUACUCGUGUGUGUGUGUGUGUGCGUCUGGAAGCUGUUAAGACUGAUUCUUUCUCUUCGAUGGCUUCUCUUCUUUCCUUCUCUCUCCCCAAGCCAAGCUUAACAAAAGCUACUUCAUCUACUUCAACCUCCACCGCACUUCCUACUCCGGAGAUUCUUGAAGAAAGAUUUGGUAGAAAGGGUAUCAAAUUCUUGGAAUCGAAUAACAUCCCAGUUGUUGAGCUAACAGUUAGAAAUGGCAGCUCUUUAAGGUUAUGGAUACCUGAUGCUCAUGUCACUUCCUACAAGCCAAAAGUUUAUUGGAAGGAUGAAGGUUUUGAGGAGCUUUUGUAUACUGUUCCAGGAAAAGACCCCAGUAAGGCAAGAGGUGGUAUUGGUUUGGUCAUCAAUGAUGCCUCUGAAGCUGGUUCCAAAGGGUCACUCAUUACUAGUUCUGAAUGGACUGUCAAGGAUGUUGAUUCUGAUGCCAUUGAUGCUCUCCAGGUAUUUCCUUUAUUUCAAAAUUUUCUGUUCAUUCCAUUCACCAUUCUUGAAACCAGUUCGCUCCCUCAUACUGAUUGGUUCUUUUGGGGAGGAUGUUGAGUUUGAUGCCAUUAAUUUUCUGUUAAUUGGUGGUCAAUUGCAACGAUGAGAAGGGAGACGAAUUUUAGGAUAAUUUAAGGGAACUACAAUUUGAGGCUCUUAGCCCCUUCAAGCUUUUUAUACCAAAUUUUCAGAAACAUGAGCCUUAAUCAAUCUAAAUUCACCGUAGACUGAACCUAUGGUAGUGGAUGAAACUCUCAUUGUAAGAUGAAAUCUGCAUUUCUUUUAGUUGCACAGCAACUAAUAGGAUGAAUAUCUAAUUUGGUUCAUGAUUUGUUCUACUGGUUUCUUGUUGGUGGAAUUAAGCUAUACCGGUGGAACUCUUGAUAUAACAUACAUCGUCUCACUAUACCCAGUGAGCAUUGCAACAGCAGUUAUAGUAAGAACAAUGGCCGCAAGCCUGUGACUCUAACUAGUGCUAUUCUAAGUCAUCUCAAAUUCAAGAGGAGAGGAAAGGCAGCAAUCCAAGGAUUCAAGGGUUGCUCCUAUUGUCCAUUCCCUCCUUUACCUUCUCCUUUCGAAAUCUUAUCUCCAGGUGAAGCCAUGAAAUCUGAGUCUUCAGGAUUGUUUGAUUUUGGUUUAGAGACCGAGGACAAACCAGGUACAUGGACAGUUCAAGAUGUACCCUUCUCAAUUUUGAAGAAUAAGUUCAGUAGGGUUUAUGCUGCUCCACCACAAGAGAGACUAAAACCAAUUUAUAACACCCCACCUUCAAAAUAUGAAACACUUGAUCAGGUAUGAGUUUGACAUUUAUAUCAGAUCAAUAGGCUUUAGCAAAUUUCAUUUUGAAAAACUAUCCAUUCUAUUGAUGUUUCAUCAAUCAGAUAUAUUACAAAAAGUAUUUAUGGCAACCCUGUUGGUCUAUUUCAGGGACUUGAGCUUUUCUUCAGGGUGAUUCGGAUGGGUUUUGAAGACACAUACAUAGGCAGCCCAGGUUCCUUAUCAGAGAAGUAUGGGCAGGAGUAUUUUAUCUGCUCUGGCCCUGCUGCAAUGCUGGUGCCUGUUAUUGUGGAACCAGGUGAAGAUUGGAGAGGGGAACAGGUUAUUGAGCAUGAUAAUUUGUAAUUAUAUAACAAAAUUAAACACUCAUCUUACAUUUUUUUUUCAGUUUCCUUUGUUCAUCUCACAAUCAAUCUUGUAAUGACACAGUUAUAUUUGCUCAAGAGAAGUCAUAAUAGUUCAUUACUCUUUAAUGGUAAUUUUGAUUUAAGCCUAAAAAAGAGAACUAGAAGAUUGGAGAUUUGUACUUGUAAUAGUUUACUUAAGUUCCAUGGUAGCUUGGAAAGAGAAGGCCUGAGCUUAGCUACAAAAAAUUUGUAGUUGAAAACCAAUUUAGAAAUCAAUAAAUUCGUUUUGCAGACAAGAUAAGAUUCAAAUAUUUUGUUUUUUAUUUAUAAUGCACUGAAUGAAAUGACAACAAAAU
RNAcentral lists this unclassified non-coding RNA (2044 nucleotides) under Hevea brasiliensis (rubber tree). The record is from RNAcentral. Lineage: Eukaryota; Viridiplantae; Streptophyta; Magnoliopsida; Malpighiales; Euphorbiaceae.